UCAAUAGAUAUGUGCGAUGAAAAGAAUCGAGUUAGAACUAAUUAGUGUUGCUACUGUUCUCCGCGCACAAUUUUCCUCCAGAGCUUCUUGCUUUUCAAUCCCAAGUAGCUGAAGAUUGGUGUAUCAGGGACCGGAAUGCACUUGACCACCCAACCGAUUGGCCAAGACAUGGCCGCGAUCCCGACGCACG
Rhodamnia argentea is the source of this 190-nucleotide long non-coding RNA. RefSeq lists it as uncharacterized. NCBI's taxonomy places the organism in Eukaryota, Viridiplantae, Streptophyta, Magnoliopsida, Myrtales, Myrtaceae. The record is from RefSeq and is a predicted model, not a curated record. The transcript is spliced from 3 exons.